This 72-nucleotide transfer RNA is filed under the name Phrynosoma platyrhinos (Desert horned lizard). RNAcentral's name for it is "tRNA-OTHER". Lineage: Eukaryota; Metazoa; Chordata; Lepidosauria; Squamata; Phrynosomatidae. The record is from RNAcentral.
ACCAGUGUGAUGUAGUGGUUUGAGCACUGGACUACAACUCUGGAGACCAGGGUUCAAUUCCCUGCUCAGCAU